GCCGCUGUGAUGGAAUCGGUAGACAUAGUGGACUUAAAAUUCACCGGUAGAAAUACUGUACGGGUUCGAGUCCCGUCAGCGGCA
Molecule: transfer RNA, 84 nt
Filed under: Caudoviricetes sp.
Lineage: Duplodnaviria; Heunggongvirae; Uroviricota; Caudoviricetes
Description: tRNA-Leu
Rfam family: tRNA
About the family: Transfer RNA (tRNA) molecules are approximately 80 nucleotides in length. Their secondary structure includes four short double-helical elements and three loops (D, anti-codon, and T loops).
Source: RNAcentral